UCUAUUAUCUACACAGAAAUCUUUUCAAGCGUAUCUGUUUGAAUACAAGUUUGACUAGGAGGUCCCUAGGAGCCUCUGUCUCUGGAGGCAGAGGCUCAAUGUCAUAGGGUGGUCACAGAGUUAUCAUUUUUAGGGGUGUGGUGGGGUGGGACUGUUGUUGAAGUAAAAGGAGGAGGGUUAGACCUGCCCAACUAGAGGUUUCUUCUAGUUUUUAUAUUUUUAAGACAGUUUAUUAUUAUGUGGCCAAUAAACCAGCAGGUGGCACUACACAACAAUUUUACACAGGCAAAAAUAAGCAGAAUGUGAUCAACACUACUCUGACAAUUUACACAAACAAGAAGUGACCACUUUAAAGACAGAAUGCCAAGAACAAUACAAUAAAUGCUAAAGAGAAAGAGUGACAAGAGUGAGCAACUACAGAUAAUGCAGUCAUGGAACCAGAAAAAGAGAUUCACAGCCUUACAUCAGGGGAAGGAUUUUGGCAGGUGUCUGAAAAUGUGUCUUGAAACAUCUCUGUAGACAAGACUGAGAAAGUUCUUUAAGUAUUAUAGACGUGAUCCUAAGGAAGACAGAAGCAGCCCAAGCCUAACUUAGAAUCAUAAGAAAAUCACAGAGAUGGAGGCCGGGCACAAUGGCUCACACCUAUAAUCCCAGCAUUUCGGGAGGCUGAGGAAGACGGAUCAUUUGAGACUAGUCCCAGCUACUCGGGAGGCUGAAGCAGGAGGAUCGCUUCAGCCCAGGAGUUUGGAAGUUUGAAGCUGUUGUGUGCUAUGAUCGCACCUGUGAAUAGCCACUGCACUCCAGCCUGGGCAACAUAAGACAAUCUAUGAAAAUCUUCCAGAACUACUAUUUCCAGAAAGACACUCUGGGAAGUACAGCUUUUGACUGAUAAGGAAAAGAAAUUGAGAUGCAUGUUACACCCUCCCAAAGUCUGAAAACCCUAAUUAUUCAGCUCCAGAGAGAGGCAAGUGCAGCACAAUCAAAUGAGUGUUGAGAAGGAAAGAGUUUCUUGGAAUCGCAAGGCCACCUGAUCGAUGGUAAACGUCCCACUUACUUG
Long non-coding RNA from Pan troglodytes (chimpanzee), 1057 nucleotides. RefSeq lists it as uncharacterized. Lineage: Eukaryota; Metazoa; Chordata; Mammalia; Primates; Hominidae. The record is from RefSeq and is a predicted model, not a curated record. The transcript is spliced from 7 exons.